UUGGAGGGCAAGUCUGGUGCCAGCAGCCGCGGUAAUUCCAGCUCCAAUAGCGUAUAUUAAAGUUGUUGCAGUUAAAAAGCUCGUAGUUGAAUUUCGGGGUCAGCAGGUUGGUCGUGCCAAUGGUAUGAACUGGCCUUGCUGAUUCCUCCCUCUUGAUGAGCCGUAAUGCCAUUAAUUUGGUGUUGCGGGGAAUCAGGACUGUUACUUUGAAAAAAUUAGAGUGUUUAAAGCAGGCAAGCGCUUGAAUACAUUAGCAUGGAAUAAUGAAAUAGGACGUUUGAUCCUAUUUUGUUGGUUUCUAGGAUUGACGUAAUGAUUAAUAGGGAUAGUUGGGGGCAUUAGUAUUCAAUUGUCAGAGGUGAAAUUCUUGGAUUUAUUGAAGACUGACUACUGCGAAAGCAUUUGCCAAGGAUGUUUUCAUUAAUCAAGAACGAAAGUUAGGGGAUCGAAGACGAUCAGAUACCGUCGUAGUCUUAACCAUAAACUAUGCCGACUAGGGAUCGGAUGAUGUUAAUUUUUUAAUGACUCAUUCGGCGCCUUACGGGAAACCAAAGUGUUUGGGUUC
This 565-nucleotide ribosomal RNA is filed under the name uncultured Sclerocystis. Its description in RNAcentral is "SSU rRNA". It matches the Rfam family "Eukaryotic small subunit ribosomal RNA", at positions 548 to 1114 of the family's 1831-position model. Lineage: Eukaryota; Fungi; Glomeromycota; Glomeromycetes; Glomerales; Glomeraceae. The record is from RNAcentral.